RNAcentral lists this microRNA precursor (74 nucleotides) under Chlorocebus sabaeus (green monkey). Its description in RNAcentral is "miRNA (ENSCSAG00000024622.1)". Lineage: Eukaryota; Metazoa; Chordata; Mammalia; Primates; Cercopithecidae. The record is from RNAcentral.
GACAAACCAUCCUGGUUUGCCAGGGACUGAGGGGUUUCCUAGGUGUGGAACUUCCGGUGCUAAAACUGAGACAG